GCUCCCGUGGUGUAGCGGCAACACGCGGCAUCAGCCGAGACGCGCGUUCGAACCGCGCCGGGAGCC
This 66-nucleotide transfer RNA is filed under the name Halobacteriales archaeon QS_5_70_15. RNAcentral describes it as "tRNA-OTHER". Lineage: Archaea; Methanobacteriati; Methanobacteriota; Halobacteria; Halobacteriales. The record is from RNAcentral.